GGAAUAUUGCACAAUGGGGGAAACCCUGAUGCAGCGACGCCGCGUGAGUGAAGAAGUAUUUCGGUAUGUAAAGCUCUAUCAGCAGGAACGAGACAAGACGGUACCUGACUAAGAAGCCCCGGCUAACUACGUGCCAGCAGCCGCGGUAAUACGUAGGGGGCAAGCGUUAUCCGGAAUCACUGGGUGUAAAGGGAGCGUAGACGGCUGAGCAAGCCUGAAGUGAAAGGCGGGGGCCCAACCCCUGGACUGCUUUGGAAACUGUGCAGCUAGAGUGCAGGAGAGGUAAGUGGAAUUCCUAGUGUAGCGGUGAAAUGCGUAGAUAUUAGGAGGAACACCAGUGGCGAAGGCGGCUUACUGGACUGUAACUGACGUUGAGGCUCGAAAGCGUGGGGAGCAAACAG
This 401-nucleotide ribosomal RNA is filed under the name uncultured bacterium. RNAcentral describes it as "bacterial SSU rRNA". It matches the Rfam family "Bacterial small subunit ribosomal RNA", at positions 358 to 775 of the family's 1533-position model. The record is from RNAcentral.